This 468-nucleotide ribosomal RNA is filed under the name uncultured bacterium. Its description in RNAcentral is "partial 16S ribosomal RNA". It matches the Rfam family "Bacterial small subunit ribosomal RNA", at positions 28 to 507 of the family's 1533-position model. The record is from RNAcentral.
GACGAACGCUGGCGGCGUGCUUAACACAUGCAAGUCGAACGGAAAGGCCCUGCUUUUUUGGGGUGCUCUAGUGGCUAACGGGUGAGUAACACGUGAGUAACCUGCCCUUUACUUUGGGAUAACUUCAGGAAACUGGGGCUAAUACCGGAUAGUAGCUCCUGCUGCAUGGUGGGGGUUGGAAAGUUUCGGCGGUUGGGGAUGGACUCGCGGCUUAUCAGCUUGUUGGUGGGGUAGUGGCUUACCAAGGCUUUGAAGGGUAGCCGGCCUGAGAGGGUGACCGGCCACAUUGGGACUGAGAGACGGCCCAGACGCCUACGGGGGGCAGCAGUGGGGAAUAUUGCACAAUGGGCGGAAGCCUGAUGCAGAAACGCCGCGUGCGGGAUGAAGGCCUUCGGGUUGUAAACCGCUUUCGCCUGUGACGAAGCGUGAGUGACGGUAAUGGGUAAAGAAGCACCGGCUAACUACGUG